RNAcentral lists this ribosomal RNA (495 nucleotides) under uncultured bacterium. Its description in RNAcentral is "partial 16S ribosomal RNA". It matches the Rfam family "Bacterial small subunit ribosomal RNA", at positions 28 to 507 of the family's 1533-position model. The record is from RNAcentral.
GACGAACGCUGGCGGCGUGCCUAAUACAUGCAAGUCGAACGCUGAAGGAGGAGCUUGCUCUUCUGGAUGAGUUGCGAACGGGUGAGUAACGCGUAGGUAACCUGCCUGGUAGCGGGGGAUAACUAUUGGAAACGAUAGCUAAUACCGCAUAACAGUAGAUGUUGCAUGACAUUUGCUUAAAAGGUGCAAUUGCACCACUACCAGAUGGACCUGCGUUGUAUUAGCUAGUUGGUGGGGUAACGGCUCACCAAGGCGACGAUACAUAGCCGACCUGAGAGGGUGAUCGGCCACACUGGGACUGAGACACGGCCCAGACUCCUACGGGAGGCAGCAGUAGGGAAUCUUCGGCAAUGGACGGAAGUCUGACCGAGCAACGCCGCGUGAGUGAAGAAGGUUGUCGGAUCGUAAAGCUCUGUUGUAAGAGAAGAACGAGUGUGAGAGUGGAAAGUUCACACUGUGACGGUAGCUUACCAGAAAGGGACGGCUAACUACGUG